Non-coding RNA from Myotis lucifugus (little brown bat), 75 nucleotides. Lineage: Eukaryota; Metazoa; Chordata; Mammalia; Chiroptera; Vespertilionidae. The record is from Rfam.
GGUGGUUCUCCGGUGAUGCACCCAGGAAUCAAGCUCUGUCCUCUCUGGUUCCGGGUGCGUCCCCUGAGAACCACA